Camellia sinensis is the source of this 533-nucleotide long non-coding RNA. RefSeq lists it as uncharacterized. Lineage: Eukaryota; Viridiplantae; Streptophyta; Magnoliopsida; Ericales; Theaceae. The record is from RefSeq and is a predicted model, not a curated record.
AAUUGAGAGUUCUGCAACUUUUCUCCAUUACACGCCUCUUUCUCGCCUGAAGAAGAUGAUUCGGCCGACACACAAUCUUUCACCCUUCUUUCUCUCAACUGAUGAUCAACGCUAAUAUUUCGGUGAAAUCGACUGAUAUCUGACAAAGAGAAAAGGAAGGAGAAUAAAAAAGAUAGGUUGUGUAGAUGAAGGUGGUGACUAGUUUGAUAUCAGCUAUCAAUAAUGAAAUCCUGUUUUCAUGUGAGAGUAGCAAUUACAGUUGUAGAUUUGGAAAGACAAGCUAAGGGAGGCUGGAUUUUGCUUUUGAGAUGAAGGAAUGCUUUUUUUUUUUUUUUGGUGCUCUUUUUUGCAGAAUGAUGUAAAUUUUUUGUUUGUACUCUCAAUGAAGUAGCUAUUUUUGUUUGUGAGAUGAAGGCUGCAUUUUUUUGUAUAUUUUAUAAUGAAAUUAUUUUGCCUUCUUAUAUUGUAAUGAAACAGCUAUGAGAUUGUAAUGAAUGCUUCAUAUUGUAAUAAAUAUUGUUCUUAGUGGCUAA